Molecule: ribosomal RNA, 468 nt
Filed under: uncultured bacterium
Lineage: Bacteria
Description: partial 16S ribosomal RNA
Rfam family: Bacterial small subunit ribosomal RNA
Source: RNAcentral
GACGAACGCUGGCGGCGUGCUUAACACAUGCAAGUCGAACGGAAAGGCCCUGCUUUUGUGGGGUGCUCGAGUGGCGAACGGGUGAGUAACACGUGAGUAACCUGCCCUUGACUUUGGGAUAACUUCAGGAAACUGGGGCUAAUACCGGAUAGGAGCUCCUGCUGCAUGGUGGGGGUUGGAAAGUUUCGGCGGUUGGGGAUGGACUCGCGGCUUAUCAGCUUGUUGGUGGGGUAGUGGCUUACCAAGGCUUUGACGGGUAGCCGGCCUGAGAGGGUGACCGGCCACAUUGGGAAUGAGAUACGGCCCCGACUCCUACGGGAGGCAGCAGUGGGGAAUAUUGCACAAUGGGCGGAAGCCUGAUGCAGCAAAGCCGCGUGCGGGAUGACGGCCUUCGGGUUGUAAACCGCUUUCGCCUGUGACGAAGCGUGAGUGACGGUAAUGGGUAAAGAAGCACCGGCUAACUACGUG